UAAUAAGUGUUUUAUGGCACUUUUUAAAUCCAUAUCCACCUUGUGUGCAAUGUCAGUCGAUCUUCUUCAUGGAGAUCGACCAAACAUCAACCUUUAUCUUUUAACUCUCUUGUCUGAAAAAUAUUAUGAAUAAACAAUUCAAAAUA
Molecule: unclassified non-coding RNA, 146 nt
Filed under: soil metagenome
Description: partial internal transcribed spacer 1
Source: RNAcentral